This 330-nucleotide ribosomal RNA is filed under the name uncultured eukaryote. RNAcentral's name for it is "partial 18S ribosomal RNA". It matches the Rfam family "Eukaryotic small subunit ribosomal RNA", at positions 1470 to 1796 of the family's 1831-position model. The record is from RNAcentral.
CCCUUAGAUGUUCGGGGCCGCACGCGCGCUACACUGAAGGAAUCAGCACGUCUUUCUCCUUGUCCGAAAGGACUGGGUAACCCGCUGAACCUCCUUCGUGCUAGGGAUUGGGGCUUGUAAUUCUUCCCCAUGAACGAGGAAUUCCCAGUAAGCGCGAGUCAUAAGCUCGCGUUGAUUACGUCCCUGCCCUUUGUACACACCGCCCGUCGCUACUACCGAUUGGAUGGUUUAGUGAGAUCCUCGGAUUGGUCCCGGCGCGGCCUCUGGUCGUGCCGGAGUGCCGAAAAGAGUGUCGAACUUGAUCAUCUAGAGGAAGUAAAAGUCGUAACA